GACGAACGCUGGCGGCGUGCUUAACACAUGCAAGUCGAGCGGAAAGGCCCUUCGGGGUACUCGAGCGGCGAACGGGUGAGUAACACGUGAGUAACCUGCCCCAGACUUUGGGAUAACCCUCGGAAACGGGGGCUAAUACCGGAUACGACACAGCUUCGCAUGGGGUCUGUGUGGAAAGUUUUUCGGUUUGGGAUGGGCUCGCGGCCUAUCAGCUUGUUGGUGGGGUGAUGGCCUACCAAGGCGACGACGGGUAGCCGGCCUGAGAGGGCGACCGGCCACACUGGGACUGAGAGACGGCCCAGACUCCUACGGGGGGCAGCAGUGGGGAAUAUUGCACAAUGGGCGGAAGCCUGAUGCAGCGACGCCGCGUGAGGGAUGACGGCCUUCGGGUUGUAAACCUCUUUCAGCAGGGACGAAGCGUAAGUGACGGUACCUGCAGAAGAAGCGCCGGCCAACUACGUG
RNAcentral lists this ribosomal RNA (462 nucleotides) under uncultured bacterium. Its description in RNAcentral is "partial 16S ribosomal RNA". It matches the Rfam family "Bacterial small subunit ribosomal RNA", at positions 28 to 507 of the family's 1533-position model. The record is from RNAcentral.